This 253-nucleotide ribosomal RNA is filed under the name uncultured bacterium. RNAcentral describes it as "partial 16S ribosomal RNA". It matches the Rfam family "Bacterial small subunit ribosomal RNA", at positions 524 to 776 of the family's 1533-position model. The record is from RNAcentral.
UACGGAGGGUGCGAGCGUUGUCCGGAAUCACUGGGCGUAAAGGGCGCGUAGGCGGCGCGGAUAGUCGGCGGUGAAAGCCCGGAGCUCAACUCCGGGUCGGCCGUCGAUACUUCCGGGCUUGAGCACUGUAGAGGCAGAUGGAAUUCCGGGUGUAGCGGUGGAAUGCGUAGAGAUCGGGAGGAACACCAGUGGCGAAGGCGGCCACCUGGGCCGACCCUGACGCUGAGGCGCGAAGGCGUGGGGAGCGAACGGG